Mustela putorius furo (domestic ferret) is the source of this 108-nucleotide small nuclear RNA. The record is from Ensembl. Lineage: Eukaryota; Metazoa; Chordata; Mammalia; Carnivora; Mustelidae.
AUGCUUGUUUCAGCAGCACAUAUGCUAAAAUUUGGAAUGAGACAAAGAAAAUUAACAUGGCCCCUGCACGGGGACCACUGGCAAAUUCACGAAGCGUUCUAUAUAUAU